CAGCGACGCCGCAUGCGGGAAGAAGGCCUUCGGGUUGUAAACCGCUUUUUCACGAGGAAGCAUUUCGUUGACUUUAGUGGAGGAAUAAGGGGAUGCUAAUUCUGUGCCAGCAGCCGCGGUAAGACAGAAUCCCCAAGCGUUAUCCGGAUUUACUGGGCGUAAAGCGUCCGUAGGCGGUCUAGCAAGUCUGGUGUUAAAUCUCUCGGGCUCAACCUGAGAGCUGCAUCAGAAACUGCUAGACUAGAGGGCGUCAGAGGCUGGCGGAACGCACGGUGUAGGGGUGAAAUCCGUUGAUAUCGUGCGGAACACCGAAAGCGAAGGCAGCCAGCUGGGGCGACCCUGACGCUGAGGGACGAAAGCGUGGGGAGCGAACGGGAUUAGAUACCCCGGUAGUCCACGCUGUAAACGAUGGGCACUAGCUAUUGGCAGUGUCGACCCUGCCAGUGGCGAAGCUAACGCGUUAAGUGCCCCGCCUGGGAAGUACGCCGGCAACGGUGAAACUCAAAGGAAUAGACGGGGGCUCACACAAGCGGUGGAUCAUGUGGCUUAAUUCGAUAAUAACCGAAGAACCUUACCAGGGCUUGACAUGCUAGUGAAACCUCGCCGAAAGGUGAGGACUCCACACGGACACUAGCACAGGUGCUGCAUGGUUGUCGUCAGCAGGUGCCGUGAGGUGCUCCCUUAAAUGGGGAAACCUGCGCAACCCUUGCCCUAUGUUUUACGUGUCAUAGGAGACUGCCGCGGAUAACGCGGAGGAAGGAGAGGACGACGCCAAAUCAGCAUGGCCCUUAAGCCCUGGGCGGCACACAUGAUACAAUGG
RNAcentral lists this ribosomal RNA (820 nucleotides) under uncultured bacterium. RNAcentral describes it as "bacterial SSU rRNA". It matches the Rfam family "Bacterial small subunit ribosomal RNA", at positions 389 to 1233 of the family's 1533-position model. The record is from RNAcentral.